GACGAACGCUGGCGGCGUGCCUAAUACAUGCAAGUCGAACGCAGUGGGGACGGGUGAGUAAAACGUGGGUAACCUCCCAUCAGACGGGAUAACACUUGGAAACAGGUGCUAAACCGAUACUGAUGGAUGGACCAGAGGUGCAUGAGCCAGUCGUUGAGGUAACGGCUCACCAAGGCCACGAUGCAUAGCCGGCCUGAGAGGGUGAUCGGCCACACUGGGACUGAGACACGGCCCAGACUCCUACGGGAGGCAGCAGUGGGGAAUCUUCGACAAUGGACGCAAGCCUGACCGAGCAACGCCGCGUGAAUGAAGAAGGUUUUCGGCUUGUAAAACUCUGUUGUUAGAGAAGCGUUAUCUGACCAAAAAGCCCCGGCUAACUACGUGCCAGCAGCCGCGGUAAUAC
Molecule: ribosomal RNA, 403 nt
Filed under: uncultured bacterium
Lineage: Bacteria
Description: partial 16S ribosomal RNA
Rfam family: Bacterial small subunit ribosomal RNA
Source: RNAcentral